Molecule: ribosomal RNA, 433 nt
Filed under: uncultured bacterium
Lineage: Bacteria
Description: bacterial SSU rRNA
Rfam family: Bacterial small subunit ribosomal RNA
Source: RNAcentral
GAACGAACGCUGGCGGCAGGCCUAACACAUGCAAGUCGAACGAGAUCUUCGGAUCUAGUGGCGGACGGGUGAGUAACGCGUGGGAACGUGCCCUUCUCUACGGAAUAGUCCUGGGAAACUGGGUUUAAUACCGUAUACGCCUCGGGUAAGGAAUUCGGGUAGGAGUCGCCGCGUUGAUAGUAGUUGGUGGGUAAGUGGCCUACCAAGCCGACCGAUCCAUAGCUGGUUUGAGAGGAUGAUCAGCCACACUGGGACUGAGACACGGCCCAGACUCCUACGGGAGGCAGCAGUGGGGAAUCUUAGACAAUGGGGGCGAACCCUGAUCUAGCCAUGCCGCGUGAGUGACGAAGGCCCUAGGGUCGUAAAGCUCUUUCGCCAGGAUGAUAAUGACAGUACCUGGUAAGAACCCCGGCUAACUCCGUGCCAGCCGCCG